UAAAUUUCUCAUACAUUCCAUUGCCCAAAUUAAUGCCUCCAUCUCCGAAUGAAGCGGUGAAAGACACGCCCUUACAUUUCUUGCCCCUAGUAAACCAUCAUACCCUGGUAAUGUACUGAGCCAACCUUUCCCUGAAAAUAGAUCCUUAUCUUUUCAUGAACCAUCUGUGAAGAACUAUCUGUGAAGCACCAUCUUCCUGUGGUUCCUAAGUUAGGCAUGACAUGUACUUCUUGUGCACACAUGUUGUUACUAACCUGUGCCUCAGUCCAAAAUGUUGAUUCUACUUCUGCUAGUCGAAGUGUUUUCCUGAGAUCAAUAUCAAGAUUACUGAAUACUUUAUUGUUCCGACCCU
Molecule: long non-coding RNA, 352 nt
Filed under: Brassica napus (rape)
Lineage: Eukaryota; Viridiplantae; Streptophyta; Magnoliopsida; Brassicales; Brassicaceae
Description: long non-coding RNA (BNAP_LNC018083)
Source: RNAcentral